UUCGCAAUGCCCGAAAGGGUGACGAAGCGACGCCGCGUGCGGGAAGAAGGCCUUCGGGUUGUAAACCGCUGUCGGGAGUUAAGAAAUGCAAGGAUGUUAACAGCGUCCUUGCUUGACUAAGGCUCCGGAGGAAGCCACGGCUAACUCUGUGCCAGCAGCCGCGGUAAUACAGAGGCGGCAAGCGUUGUUCGGAAUUAUUGGGCGUAAAGAGCACGUAGGUGGUUUUGUAAGUCAGAUGUGAAAGCCUUCUGUUCAAAGGAAGAACGGCAUCUGAAGCUACAGAUCUUGAGUGUAGGAAGGGAGAGUGGAACUUCUGGUGGAGCGGUGAAAUGCGUAGAUAUCAGAAGGAACGUCGGCGGCGAAAGCGACUCUCUGGCCUAUUACUGACACUGAGUGUGCGAAAGUUAGGGGAGCAAACGGGAUUAGAUACCCCGGUAGUCCUAACUGUAAACGAUGGGCACUAAGUAGAGGGGUUUU
RNAcentral lists this ribosomal RNA (477 nucleotides) under uncultured anaerobic ammonium-oxidizing bacterium. Its description in RNAcentral is "bacterial SSU rRNA". It matches the Rfam family "Bacterial small subunit ribosomal RNA", at positions 365 to 832 of the family's 1533-position model. The record is from RNAcentral.